CUCUCACGUUCCCCCCUCCUUCCUCCCCUGUGAACUAUGUACACUACCCCUCCCUCUUGACAACUCUAACUCUCCAUUCUCUCUUUUUCUCUUGCACAUGCAACCACAGGAGCGCACGGAUCACACCAACGCCACAGAACCAUGUCGGACUCAGAGACUGCAGCUCCUGCCGAGACCCCUGUCCCAGCACCCUGUGUGGCCAUCAAGGCAGAUCUAGACAAAUGUGUAAAGGCGAAAUGGGUGAGGAAGCGUGUAAGGAGCUAAUGGAGGCGUUUGCUGCCUGUGUGAAGAGCAAUGCUGAGGCGUCAUGAGGAGCUCAACAUGCAGGAAAACGUUUUACUGCACUGAGUCCUCCACCCUUCCCAGCAUUCCCUGCAGCUCAUGGCACUGGACUCAAUGAUGGGGUUUGGGGUUUGGCAGCAGAAAGACCAUAUUUGUGUCUUUUCCCUUCUCUACCCUCCUGUGAAGCUUAAAUGGAUUCCUUCAACCACCCAACCUCCCCCUCCCCGUUGUGGCUGAUUGUAUUGAUCUGACCUGUAGACAGUUUGAGAGUUGA
Long non-coding RNA from Cyprinus carpio (common carp), 556 nucleotides. RefSeq lists it as uncharacterized. The record is from RefSeq and is a predicted model, not a curated record. NCBI's taxonomy places the organism in Eukaryota, Metazoa, Chordata, Actinopteri, Cypriniformes, Cyprinidae.